RNAcentral lists this ribosomal RNA (292 nucleotides) under uncultured bacterium. Its description in RNAcentral is "partial 16S ribosomal RNA". It matches the Rfam family "Bacterial small subunit ribosomal RNA", at positions 505 to 796 of the family's 1533-position model. The record is from RNAcentral.
GUGCCAGCAGCCGCGGUAAUACGGAGGGUGCGAGCGUUGUCCGGAUUUAUUGGGUUUAAAGGGUGCGUAGGUGGCUGUUUAAGUCAGUGGUGAAAUACGGUUGCUCAACAAUCGAGGUGCCAUUGAUACUGAAUAGCUUGAAAUAAUUGGAGGCUGCCGGAAUGGAUGGUGUAGCGGUGAAAUGCAUAGAUAUCAUCCAGAACACCGAUUGCGAAGGCAGGUGGCUACGAUUUGUUUGACACUGAGGCACGAAAGCAUGGGGAGCAAACAGGAUUAGAAACCCCAGUAGUCC